UGAGGAAUAUUGGUCAAUGGACGAGAGUCUGAACCAGCCAAGUAGCGUGCAGGAUGACGGCCCUAUGGGUUAUAAACUGCUUUUGUUUGGGAAUAAUCGACAUUACGUGUAAUGUUUUGCAUGUACCAUUCGAAUAAGGACCGGCUAAUUCCGUGCCAGCAGCCGCGGUAAUACGGAAGGUCCAGGCGUUAUCCGGAUUUAUUGGGUUUAAAGGGAGUGUAGGCGGUUGGUUAAGCGUGUUGUGAAAUGUAGAUGAUCAACAUCUGACUUGCAGCGCGAACUGGCUGACUUGAGUACACAAAACGUAGGCGGAAUUCAUGGUGUAGCGGUGAAAUGCUUAGAUAUCAUGAAGAACUCCGAUUGCGAAGGCAGCUUACGGGAGUGUUACUGACGCUUAAGCUCGAAGGUGCGGGUAUCAAACAGG
This 424-nucleotide ribosomal RNA is filed under the name Verrucomicrobiota bacterium. RNAcentral's name for it is "Verrucomicrobia bacterium partial 16S ribosomal RNA". It matches the Rfam family "Bacterial small subunit ribosomal RNA", at positions 355 to 776 of the family's 1533-position model. The record is from RNAcentral. Lineage: Bacteria; Pseudomonadati; Verrucomicrobiota.